UACGAAGGGAGCUAGCGUUGUUCGGAAUCACUGGGCGUAAAGCGCACGUAGGCGGGUGUGUCAGUCAGGGGUGAAAUCCCGGAGCUCAACUUCGGAACUGCCUUUGAUACAGCACGUCUUGAGUCCGAUAGAGGUGGGUGGAAUUCCUAGUGUAGAGGUGAAAUUCGUAGAUAUUAGGAAGAACACCGGUGGCGAAGGCGGCCCACUGGAUCGGUACUGACGCUGAGGUGCGAAAGCGUGGGGAGCAAACAGG
RNAcentral lists this ribosomal RNA (253 nucleotides) under uncultured bacterium. RNAcentral describes it as "partial 16S ribosomal RNA". It matches the Rfam family "Bacterial small subunit ribosomal RNA", at positions 524 to 776 of the family's 1533-position model. The record is from RNAcentral.